AUUGGAUUGAGAACAAUGUACAACUCUUAUCGAUAAGCCAUUGGAGGGCAAGUCUGGUGCCAGCAGCCGCGGUAAUUCCAGCUCCAAUAGCGUAUAUUAACGUUGUUGCAGUUAAAAAGCUCGUAUUUGAAGUGUGGGUGUUCCCUAUUGUGAAACAUCGGUCUCUCGACAGUACUUCCCCCCCUUCCCUAAAUUCCAGUAGUGGGAGAUCGCUUACUUAAUAAUGGGGCCGGUCCUUUUCUCAGUGAAAAAUAGAGUGUUCAAAGCAGGGGUGUGUUUGAAUAGAUUAGCAGGGAAUAAUAAUUGAAGGCUUUCGUGUUCGAUUUGAUUGGUUUGUUCAUGGAAGCAAGGUUAAAAGGAACAGUUGGGGGUAUUCAUAUUCACUAGUA
This 389-nucleotide ribosomal RNA is filed under the name Blastocystis sp. RNAcentral's name for it is "SSU rRNA". It matches the Rfam family "Eukaryotic small subunit ribosomal RNA", at positions 508 to 906 of the family's 1831-position model. Lineage: Eukaryota; Bigyra; Opalinata; Blastocystidae. The record is from RNAcentral.